AGACGGAGGGCGCAAGCGUUGUUCGGAAUUACUGGGCGUAAAGGGCAGGUAGGUGGUCUGUUAAGUCUUCUGUGAAAAUCCGGGGCUCAACCCCGCGAAAUGCAGGUGAAACUGGCAGACUUGAGACCGGUAGAGGCUAGCGGAAUUCCUGGUGUAGCGGUGGAAUGCGUAGAUAUCAGGAAGAACACCUGUGGCGAAGGCGGCUAGCUGGGCCGGUUCUGACACUGAACUGCGAAAGCGUGGGGAGCAAACAGGAUUAGAAACCCGAGUAGUCC
Molecule: ribosomal RNA, 275 nt
Filed under: uncultured bacterium
Lineage: Bacteria
Description: partial 16S ribosomal RNA
Rfam family: Bacterial small subunit ribosomal RNA
Source: RNAcentral